Molecule: non-coding RNA, 20 nt
Filed under: Mus musculus (house mouse)
Lineage: Eukaryota; Metazoa; Chordata; Mammalia; Rodentia; Muridae
Also listed under: 1 other name
Source: RNAcentral
GGUCAAGAGGCGCCUGGGAA